Regulatory RNA element from Cellulomonas gilvus ATCC 13127, 91 nucleotides. It matches the Rfam family "ZMP/ZTP riboswitch aptamer (pfl RNA motif)". From Rfam's summary of the family: Previously known as pfl RNA. NCBI's taxonomy places the organism in Bacteria, Bacillati, Actinomycetota, Actinomycetes, Micrococcales, Cellulomonadaceae. The record is from Rfam.
GUGCCCCGUCGCGACUGGCGCAACGGGGUGGGUCACCACCGGGGAGCGACGAAGCAGCUGGACCACGGGGUCGGACGCCUGGGCCCUCGGU